This is a long non-coding RNA of Bos taurus (domestic cattle), 1904 nucleotides long. Lineage: Eukaryota; Metazoa; Chordata; Mammalia; Artiodactyla; Bovidae. The record is from Ensembl.
GGCGGGAAGAGGGAAGAUUUGUUGACCAUCAGGUGUCCUGAAUUGUCUUAAGCAGAGGAGGCCUGUGAGAAAAAGAAGCAAGAGACAAGGAAGUGGGAGCCAGGGCCCCGUCCAAGGGGGCUGGACCCUAAUUCAAAGACAGUGGGACCAUGGCUUCUGUGUCCAGUGCGGGGGUGUAGGGGCUGUGCUUCCAAAGGACACAGCCCAGACUGAAGGGGAUGGUCAGAGACGGGUCAUAGAAUCCAUCCUCUCACAACGCAGCAGAUGCCUGGCCCACUGCCAAGGUCGUGGGAAAGGGAGCGACCAGAGAUGGGGUGGGGGGCGCAGAGAGCUCCAGCAGAGAGGCGAACGAGAGCAGGGGCAGCGAGGGCUGUGGGAGAUGGAAAUCCACCUUCUCCAUGAGGGGGUGGGAUGGUGCUUAUACAGGACACCACCCGUAAAACAAAAAAGAGAAAAAGAAAAGGUGGGAUGAUAAAGUCCUUCUGGUCAUUUUACAAAAAAGUCCUGCAGGAGAGGAAAACCCUGUAGGAAAGGAGACUGGGGGUUGGGGGCUGGGGUUUGAGGUGGGCUGCAGGGCAGGAGGAGAGGAGGGGUUGGAGGUCGAGGGGAGGGGCGUGGGUGAGGGGGAGCAGGCGGGCCUCCGAGGAAAGCCUCCAGAGUCUGCCCCUUGGCCUGGGGGGACUGGUGACUAAAGCGGUCUCAAUGAGGGGCAGUACGUGGUGAGGAACAAAGUCCGGGGGGAUGUUAGGAGCUCAACUGCACUGAAUCAGAUCCUCUUGAAUGUAGCACAGUCGGCGGCAUCAGAUGAGAUAGUGAAAAGAGAAUUCCAUUCAGGUGGUUCACCUGCAGAGACUUGAAAGAGGGUGUGGGCAGAACUAAAGAGACUAACCCCCAGAGACCAGCAACAGCCGAAGCCACCCACCCCGGGCCUGAGCAGAGGGCAGUGAAGGUGGGACUGCGGCCCCAGAGAGGGCGGUCACACGGUCAUCAAUGUAGGGCCAGCACGGGGAUGGACAGAGAAGAAACACCCCAACUUCUCCCCCACUGCGGGCUCCUGGGUAGUGCUCACUGACUGAUCACAACAGAGAGUGGGGCGCGAGGCAGCCCAGGUGAUGUGAUUGUUCGGGACCACAGCCCUCCCAGGUGCCAAGCAAGGCAGGGAAGGGAUUUGAGGGCAGAGCAAAUGGAGAUGAACUGACACACACAGCUUGCAAGCAGCUUUCCCCCGAAUCCAUCAGAACACGAUGAUGUCGCUGGUGUGUGAUCCACACUGCUCUUCUCUCUGUGCGGGGGCAAUCAAGAGUAGAAGGAAGAGUUUCUCAGGACAUUGAAGUCAUUCUGCUUGUCAUCACCAAAAAUGUGCCCUUUCUCCGGAAUCCUACAACAGCAUUUUUGCAUUGCCAGCAGGAGGCAGGAGAGAGGAGAAAGCCAUACUUGCGGAGCGCCUGUCUGAUGAGACGCUGUCAGGUCCGAGGGAGCGGAGAGAGGCUGAAAUGGCGGAGUCUGUUUCAUCAUGACCCUGCACCUUGUCCCUGAGACGAUGCGACACACAAACUGCUGGUUAUGAAUGUGUCAAUGUUUCCAUAGCCUCUGUACACAAGAGGAGUCAGCUGGAAAAGUAUGAACUCUGUGUCCAUAGCGUUCUGCUUAUUUAUCAUUUGCAAAAAGAUUAAGAGGAUAGUCCAGGGAUUUCUUCUUGGAGAAGAAAUGGAGAGAGAGUGAGAGGGCAUUUAUCUCAUCUCUAGGAAGAAAUCAGGGAGAACAGAAAGUUAAAGACUGCCAGGCAAUUCUCCAUCUCUCCAAACCUCAGGGGUUUUAGGACCAUAGGGUUUUAGAGCCAGAAGAGAUCUUGGAGGGAGCUGGGGCGACCAGGUGGCAGCCGGCAUCAGUGAGAGGUCCCAGGC